RNAcentral lists this ribosomal RNA (451 nucleotides) under uncultured bacterium. RNAcentral's name for it is "partial 16S ribosomal RNA". It matches the Rfam family "Bacterial small subunit ribosomal RNA", at positions 29 to 523 of the family's 1533-position model. The record is from RNAcentral.
AACGAACGCUGGCGGCAGGCUUAACACAUGCAAGUCGAACGGGUGCAGCAAUGCAUCAGUGGCAGACGGGUGAGUAACACGUGGGAACCUUCCUAGGGGUACGGAACAACUCAGGGAAACUUGAGCUAAUACCGUAUACGUCCGUGAGGAGAAAGAUUUAUGGCCCUUAGACGGGCCCGCGUCGGAUUAGCGAGUUGGUGGGGUAACGGCCUACCAUGGUGACGAUCCGUAGCUGAUCUUAGAGGAUGAUCAGCCACACUGGGACUGAGACGCGGCCCAGACUCCUACGGGAGGCAGCAGUGGGAAAUCUUGGACAAUGGGCACAAGCCUGUUCCAGCCAUGACGCGUGAGUGAAGAAGGUCUUCGGAUUGUAAAGCUCUUUUACCAGGGACGAUAAUGACGGUACCUGGAGAAUAAGCCCCGGCAAACUUCGUUCCAGCAGCCGCCGUAA